GGCUGGUCUGAUGGCAGUGGGUUAUCAGAACUUGCUAACAUUAGUGUCACUGCAGUUGGUAUACAAACCCCCACUGCUAAAUUUGACUGGCUUUAA
Molecule: Y RNA, 96 nt
Filed under: Saimiri boliviensis boliviensis (Bolivian squirrel monkey)
Lineage: Eukaryota; Metazoa; Chordata; Mammalia; Primates; Cebidae
Description: Y RNA (ENSSBOG00000005684.1)
Rfam family: Y RNA
About the family: Y RNAs are components of the Ro ribonucleoprotein particle (Ro RNP), in association with Ro60 and La proteins. The Y RNAs and Ro60 and La proteins are well conserved, but the function of the Ro RNP is not known.
Source: Rfam by way of RNAcentral